Molecule: ribosomal RNA, 585 nt
Filed under: uncultured bacterium
Lineage: Bacteria
Description: bacterial SSU rRNA
Rfam family: Bacterial small subunit ribosomal RNA
Source: RNAcentral
CCUACGGGAGGCAGCAGUGGGGAAUUUUGGACAAUGGGGGAAACCCUGAUCCAGCCAUUCCGCGUGUGCGAUGAAGGCCUUCGGGUUGUAAAGCACUUUUGGCAGGAAAGAAAUCGCACAGAUUAAUACUUUGUGUGGAUGACGGUACCUGCAGAAUAAGCACCGGCUAACUACGUGCCAGCAGCCGCGGUAAUACGUAGGGUGCAAGCGUUAAUCGGAAUUACUGGGCGUAAAGCGUGCGCAGGCGGUUCGGAAAGAGAGGUGUGAAAUCCCAGGGCUUAACCUUGGAACUGCACUUUUAACUCCCGAGCUAGAGUAUGUCAGGAGGGGGUGGAAUUCCGCGUGUAGCAGUGAAAUGCGUAGAUAUGCGGAGGAACACCGAUGGCGAAGGCAGCCCCCUGGGAUAAUACUGACGCUCAUGCACGAAAGCGUGGGGAGCAAACAGGAUUAGAUACCCUGGUAGUCCACGCCCUAAACGAUGUCAACUAGCUGUUGGGGGCUUCGGCCCUUAGUAGCGCAGCUAACGCGUGAAGUUGACCGCCUGGGGAGUACGGCCGCAAGAUUAAAACNCAAAGGAAUUGACGG